Myodes glareolus (Bank vole) is the source of this 148-nucleotide long non-coding RNA. RefSeq lists it as uncharacterized. The record is from RefSeq and is a predicted model, not a curated record. NCBI's taxonomy places the organism in Eukaryota, Metazoa, Chordata, Mammalia, Rodentia, Cricetidae.
UGAGAAUGACCGUAGAACACACCAACAAACAAUCCAAAAGAGAGUUCACUGGAGAUAGUCAGAGAAGCUGAAGUCACAGAUCAGAGAAUGACUCACUGAGGCAAUGUCAUGAGAGAUUGGUGCCUAGCCCAACUGUUUUUAGAGAUGC